UCAUUUGAAAUAUCGUAGUGUCAUUUAAAUGUCAUAGUGUCAUUUGAAAUGUCAUAGUAUCAUUUGAAAUAUCAUAGUGUCAUUUGAAAUCUUGUAGUGUCAUUUAAAAGGUCGUAGUGUCAUUUGAAAUGCCGUAGUAUCAUUUGAAAUCUUGUAGUGUCAUUUAUAUACUACAUACUUAAAAGAAAGAAACUACAAGUAUUAAAAGAAAAAAAAACUACAUACUUAAAAGAAAGAAACUAUAGAAACUUAUAGAAGAAAGAAAUUACAAGUAAAAAGAAAGAAACUAUAUAUUUAAAAGAAAGAAACUAUAGAAAAAAAAUAAAGAAAUUAUAGAAAUGAAAUGAUAAAAAUAAAGAAACUAUAUAAUUUAAAACUGAAAAAACAAAAAGAAAGAGAAAAAAUGCGUAUAUAUGUCAAAAAGUGAGAAAAAUGUUAAAUGAAGAAAGAAACUACAUACUUAAAAUAAAGAAACUACAAGUAUUAGAAAAAAGAAAAACACUACAUACUUAAAAGAAAGAAACUACAAGUAUUAAAAGAUAAAAAACUACAUACUUAAAAGAAAGAAACUAUAGAAACUUAUAAAAGAAAGAAACUACAAGUAAAAAGAAAGAAACUAUAUACUUAAAAGAAAGAAACUAUAGAAAUAAAAUAAAAAAAUAAUAAUUAAAAAAUUGAAACGAAAAAGAAAAAAGAAGAAGACACUAUAUUUAUAUCUAAAGGACACUUUUAAUAUAUCUAAAUGAUACUAUUUUUCUUGGUAAAUGACACCAUUAAUAUGUAAAAAAUACUUUAAACACAAAGAAUAAAAAUAUUAAAAAUCAUGUUUGUCGAAAAGAAAUUACACUAUAACAUUGACACUAUUUUUGUUAAUAAAAAACACUUUAAAAAUACUAUAACAUUGACA
RNAcentral lists this long non-coding RNA (907 nucleotides) under Salvia miltiorrhiza (redroot sage). RNAcentral's name for it is "long non-coding RNA (SMIL_LNC012546)". The record is from RNAcentral. Lineage: Eukaryota; Viridiplantae; Streptophyta; Magnoliopsida; Lamiales; Lamiaceae.